UACGUAGGGGGCAAGCGUUGUUCGGAUUUACUGGGCGUAAAGAGCUCGUAGGCGGCUUGGCAAGUCAGAUGUGAAACCCUCAGGCUUAACCUGGGGCCGCCAUCUGAUACUGCUAUGGCUAGAGUCCGGUAGGGGAUCGUGGAAUUCCUGGAGUAGCGGUGAAAUGCACAGAUCUCAGGAGGAACACCAGUGGCGAAGGCGGCGAUCUGGGCCGGUACUGACGCUGAGGAGCGAAAGCGUGGGGAGCAAACAGG
Molecule: ribosomal RNA, 254 nt
Filed under: uncultured bacterium
Lineage: Bacteria
Description: partial 16S ribosomal RNA
Rfam family: Bacterial small subunit ribosomal RNA
Source: RNAcentral